Molecule: long non-coding RNA, 458 nt
Organism: Micropterus dolomieu (smallmouth bass)
Lineage: Eukaryota; Metazoa; Chordata; Actinopteri; Centrarchiformes; Centrarchidae
Exons: 3
Source: RefSeq, a predicted model, not a curated record
CUAAAGCAGAAAGGCGUCUGACAGGGACACCGGCUGGCGAUCGUUGUGUCUGGUCAGAAGAACCUGGCAAACAGGGAGCGAAGCUGCUCUGUGUACUGCUUCAGGGCUUCUGGGACCUUCUUCAGCCAGCACUCUGUGAAAGGGCUGAGGCCCAGAAUACUGGGCUCAAGGUAGACCAUACCGCAGCGAGACACUGUGGCUGGAGAUGCCACCGCCAAGUCUUGAACCUCAAACAUCAUGGUCAUCACCUGCAGAAGGAAGACACAAAACAUUUGGAAAAGAUCGGACACAAUACCGUUGAAGAGCUUCAGGUCGUCCUGUAAGAACUUUGGCACAUUGACAUCUUGAAUGGCCCGCAGACAGAUCAGCUCCUGGGAGACAGUGAGAUGGAAGAAGAAUAAGAUAAUAAAAUACAGUUCUUUUUUAAACUCCAUUCAAAAAUAGUGUCAUGUUUUAUA